UAUACAGCAGUGUUUUGGGCACGAAGAAUUUUGAUUUCUUAAGAGAGGUUCAUUACCUCCUGAU
This 64-nucleotide transfer RNA is filed under the name Mitromorpha fischeri. Its description in RNAcentral is "tRNA-Gln". Lineage: Eukaryota; Metazoa; Mollusca; Gastropoda; Neogastropoda; Conidae. The record is from RNAcentral.